Long non-coding RNA from Paramormyrops kingsleyae, 1575 nucleotides. RefSeq lists it as uncharacterized. The record is from RefSeq and is a predicted model, not a curated record. NCBI's taxonomy places the organism in Eukaryota, Metazoa, Chordata, Actinopteri, Osteoglossiformes, Mormyridae.
GGUUGCGAAUGUUAUGGUUUUGUCCUGUAUAUGUUUGGAAAUAUUUUUUUUUCGUUUCGUUCAUGCUUCUGUAACAUGUUCCACUGUUGUUGUGAUUGUCAGUUCUUGCAAUGCGUUAACAUACAACUAUAAUCGAUUCCAACGUUAUUUUCAGCUAGGUAAAAGCGAUCAGAAUAUUUGCCUGUGCGUUGCGCAACAAUACAGAUUAUCCAGAUUGGCUGCUAAGGUAAUGUCAUAAAAAUGCACAUGUUGCUGUAUAUAAAAACUGGUAAAUGCGUCGUGUGGUGGCAUCGAGUCAAGGCUCAAAUGCGGAGGCGAGGAAUUCCAACUAAUGGCUAAUUUUUCCAAGCACGCGCAAUUCUCGUGCCCGCCAGCAGGGCGACGCGGAGUAAGGAAUUCUCACGACGUCAGCAAGAGGGCCACGUGACGCCCGUGCUAAGACGUGUGCAAUUCCAUUGGAAACCUACAUAAUUCCAAGCUUACAGGUCCUGGCCAGUGCAAGAAGUGACAACUGCAACGGAGGCGGUAGCGCCUUUGAAGAUUGAAGGGGUUACGACCUUCUGCCUAGAUUCAUCGGACCCUACAGUUUCAUUCCCGGGGACUCGCAAGCCCUCCUUUCUGGCUAGUCAAAGUUGGAAACGGAAUGAUGAAUUAUACCUUUGUCCUUUGUUAACUCGGAAAAAGGAGUGAAAUUCUGAACGCUGGUUGAGGGAGGGAACAAUACGUUGAGAAUUUUAACAAGAGAACGGGUUUCAGGUACACAUUUAACAGAAUUAUAGGGUGUCUAGAAAGGACAAUUCUCAAGCCUUCAGCUGACAAAAUGUUCUGAAAACACUUUUCCUAAAAUAUAACGCGUCUAUAGCUUCUUCUCAUUAGGCCUAUAUAUUCAGUUUAUUUUGAAGUCGUGUUACACAUGAACUAAAUGGCAGCCUCGUGCAUUGAUAUUUUCUUGCCAUUUAUAAAGUUUUCGUGUCUUAUCUUUACAAUUUGAGUAACUGAUUAUCUUUCUAUUAAAAAUAGUUUAUUAGUGUUGAUAUUGACUAUUUCAGUUUCGUUGAUAUAAACCAGCGGUUCUUAGGUUUUUAAAAGGUGCUUCAAGAUGAACAUUUGGGAUAAGUACGAAAGGUACAGCCGCACAGCCUCCUCCGAUUACUUGUACAGGUAACAUUUAGGCUGUCGCUCUAUGUUUAGAAACUGCACAACUUCCGUUGUCUCAUCCGCUGACAUUGUUUACAAAUAUUUAAAUCACUGCAAUAUAUACUAAAAUUAGGCAAGCUGUCAUAUUAAAUAUUAAUAUUUAAAUUGAAGCACACAACUAGUCUGUCAUCUAAAUGCUUUAAGACUACUUGCCAUGCGGUUAUAUUUCCCCGUUGAAUCUGAACGUCUUUCCCACUUAAAAUGUCAUAGCCGUGUUUAAAAGUAGUAUAUGCUAAAUAUGUACAAUGGACAUACUCAAGGAACUAAACCAGAAAGGGAGAUGGAAACUUAUGUAAGUAUAUAGAUGCGUAGAUACGGAAUCACUUGUUAUAUGUUAUAUGUUAUAAUUUAAUCGUUCCAAUAAAUAGUAGAAGAAGA